AACGCUAGCUACAGGCUUAACACAUGCAAGUCGAGGGGCAUCAGGAAGAAAGCUUGCUUUCUUUGCUGGCGACCGGCGCACGGGUGAGUAACACGUAUCCAACCUGCCGAUGACUCGGGGAUAGCCUUUCGAAAGAAAGAUUAAUACCCGAUGGUAUAUCUGAAAGGCAUCUUUCAGCUAUUAAAGAAUUUCGGUCAUUGAUGGGGAUGCGUUCCAUUAGGUUGUUGGCGGGGUAACGGCCCACCAAGCCAUCGAUGGAUAGGGGUUCUGAGAGGAAGGUCCCCCACAUUGGAACUGAGACACGGUCCAAACUCCUACGGGAGGCAGCAGUGAGGAAUAUUGGUCAAUGGACGAGAGUCUGAACCAGCCAAGUAGCGUGAAGGAUGACUGCCCUAUGGGUUGUAAACUUCUUUUAUACGGGAAUAAAGUUAGGCACGUGUGCCUUUUUGUAUGUACCGUAUGAAUAAGGAUCGGCUAACUCCGUGCCAGCAGCCGCGGUAAUACGGAGGAUCCGAGCGUUAUCCGGAUUUAUUGGGUUUAAAGGGAGCGUAGGCGGAUGCUUAAGUCAGUUGUGAAAGUUUGCGGCUCAACCGUAAAAUUGCAGUUGAUACUGGGUGUCUUGAGUACAGUAGAGGCAGGCGGAAUUCGUGGUGUAGCGGUGAAAUGCUUAGAUAUCACGAAGAACUCUGAUUG
This 693-nucleotide ribosomal RNA is filed under the name uncultured bacterium. Its description in RNAcentral is "bacterial SSU rRNA". It matches the Rfam family "Bacterial small subunit ribosomal RNA", at positions 32 to 715 of the family's 1533-position model. The record is from RNAcentral.